This 392-nucleotide RNase P RNA is filed under the name Bacteroidota bacterium. Its description in RNAcentral is "Bacteroidetes bacterium RNase P RNA component class A". It matches the Rfam family "Bacterial RNase P class A". Rfam says of the family: Ribonuclease P (RNase P) is a ubiquitous endoribonuclease, found in archaea, bacteria and eukarya as well as chloroplasts and mitochondria. Its best characterised activity is the generation of mature 5'-ends of tRNAs by cleaving the 5'-leader elements of precursor-tRNAs. The record is from RNAcentral. Lineage: Bacteria; Pseudomonadati; Bacteroidota.
ACUACGGGCUACUCUGUCGCGGUUCGACCCUGUGGUCGAAAUGAGGAAAGUCCGGACAACGCAGAGUACCACACCAGCUAACGGCUGGGCUCCCUUCGGGGAGACAGAAAGUGCAACAGAAAAUACACCGCCUUAACAGGUAAGGGUGAAAUCGUGCGGUAAGAGCGCACGGCCGGGCUGGCAACAGUUCCGGUUGGUAAACCUUGUGGGUUGAAAUGCCACGUACAUCCGGAUCAUCCCUUUGGGGAAGUCAGGCUAACUCGGCCUGUUUUUCGAAAGAAAAGUCCGGAGGGGUAGGCAGAUGGAUCCCCGGCGCGAGCCCGGGACUAGAUAAAUGACAGAGAUGCUGCUUCGCAGUAUUACAGAAUCCGGCUUAUUGGCCCGUAGUAGUU